AUGAGGCCUAUUCUCAUGAAGGGGCACGAGCGCCCGCUCACGUUCCUGAAGUACAACCGGGACGGCGACCUGCUGUUCUCAUGCGCCAAGGACCACACCCCCACCGUCUGGUACGCCGACAACGGCGACCGCCUCGGCACCUACCGCGGCCACAACGGCGCGGUAUGGUCCUGCGAUGUCUCCCGCCACUCGACGCGUCUCAUCACGGGGAGCGCCGACCAGACUGCCAAGCUCUGGGACGUCAAGACGGGGAAGGAGCUCUUCACCUUCAGGUUCGACGCCCCCGCGCGCUCCGUGGACUUAGCCAUCGGCGACCACCUGGCGGUCAUCACCACCGACAGUUUCAUGGGGAAUAUGCCCACCGCGCAGGUCAAGCGCAUCGCCGAGGACCUGCAAGAACAGACGGAGGAGUCAGCGCUUGUGAUCUCCGGCAUCACGGGGAGGAUUAACAGGGCCGUGUGGGGGCCCGGCAACCGGACCAUCAUCACCGCCGGUGAGGAUGCCACCAUCCGCAUCUGGGACUCUGAGACCGGAAAGCUGCUGAAGGAGUCAGACAAGGAGGUUGGACAUCAGAAGGCAAUUAGCUCACUGUCAAAAUCCUUAGAUUGGUCUCAUUUCCUCACAGGUUCCUUGGAUAAAUCUGCCAAGCUAUGGGAUGCAAGAACACUGACCCUGAUAAAGACAUAUGUCACAGAGCGACCGGUUAAUGCUGUUGACAUAUCUCCUACUCUUGAUCAUGUGGUUAUUGGAGGUGGCCAAGAUGCUAUGAAUGUUACUAUGACAGAUCGCCGUGCGGGUAAAUUUGAGGCCAAAUUUUUCCACAAGAUUUUAGAAGAAGAGAUUGGUGGUGUUAAAGGACAUUUUGGACCUAUCAAUGCAUUAGCAUUUAAUCCUGAUGGGAGGAGCUUUUCGAGUGGUGGUGAGGAUGGGUAUGUGAGGCUACACCAUUUUGAUCCUGAGUAUUUCAACAUCAAGAUGUAA
This 981-nucleotide ribosomal RNA is filed under the name Triticum aestivum (bread wheat). RNAcentral's name for it is "partial small subunit ribosomal RNA". The record is from RNAcentral. Lineage: Eukaryota; Viridiplantae; Streptophyta; Magnoliopsida; Poales; Poaceae.